UCAGAUGCGAAAGCGUGGGGAGCAAACAGGAUUAGAUACCCUGGUAGUCCACGCCGUAAACGAUGUCUACUUGGAGGUUGUGGAUUGAGCCGUGGCUUUCGGAGCUAACGCGUUAAGUAGACCCCCUGGGGAGUACGGUCGCAAGAUUAAAACU
RNAcentral lists this ribosomal RNA (154 nucleotides) under Vibrio anguillarum. RNAcentral's name for it is "partial 16S ribosomal RNA". It matches the Rfam family "Bacterial small subunit ribosomal RNA", at positions 747 to 901 of the family's 1533-position model. The record is from RNAcentral. Lineage: Bacteria; Pseudomonadati; Pseudomonadota; Gammaproteobacteria; Vibrionales; Vibrionaceae.